This 497-nucleotide ribosomal RNA is filed under the name uncultured bacterium. Its description in RNAcentral is "partial 16S ribosomal RNA". It matches the Rfam family "Bacterial small subunit ribosomal RNA", at positions 28 to 507 of the family's 1533-position model. The record is from RNAcentral.
GAUGAACGCUGGCGGCGUGCCUAAUACAUGCAAGUCGAGCGAACGGACGAGAAGCUUGCUUCUCUGAUGUUAGCGGCGGACGGGUGAGUAACACGUGGAUAACCUACCUAUAAGACUGGGAUAACUUCGGGAAACCGGAGCUAAUACCGGAUGAUAUUUUGAACCGCAUGGUUCAAAAGUGAAAGACGGUCUUGCUGUCACUUAUAGAUGGAUCCGCGCUGCAUUAGCUAGUUGGUAAGGUAAUGGCUUACCAAGGCAACGAUGCAUAGCCGACCUGAGAGGGUGAUCGGCCACACUGGAACUGAGACACGGUCCAGACUCCUACGGGAGGCAGCAGUAGGGAAUCUUCCGCAAUGGGCGAAAGCCUGACGGAGCAACGCCGCGUGAGUGAUGAAGGUCUUCGGAUCGUAAAACUCUGUUAUUAGGGAAGAACAUAUGUGUAAGUAACUGUACACAUCUUGACGGUACCUAAUCAGAAAGCCACGGCUAACUACGUG